UGGGGAAUAUUGCACAAUGGGCGAAAGCCUGAUGCAGCAACGCCGCGUGCGGGAAGAAGGCCUUAGGGUCGUAAACCGCUUUCAGGGGGGACGAAGCUUCCGGGGUUAAUAGACUACGGGGUGACGGUACUCCCACAAGCAGGUCCGGCUAAAUACGUGCCAGCAGCCGCGGUAAUACGGAGGAUGCAAGCGUUAUUCGGAUUCGUUGGGUUUAAAGGGUGCGUAGGCGGGACGGCUAGUCUGGGGUGA
This 249-nucleotide ribosomal RNA is filed under the name uncultured organism. RNAcentral describes it as "partial 16S ribosomal RNA". It matches the Rfam family "Bacterial small subunit ribosomal RNA", at positions 355 to 597 of the family's 1533-position model. The record is from RNAcentral.